Molecule: RNA transcript, 722 nt
Organism: Mandrillus leucophaeus (drill)
Lineage: Eukaryota; Metazoa; Chordata; Mammalia; Primates; Cercopithecidae
Gene name: 40S ribosomal protein SA pseudogene
Exons: 1
Source: RefSeq, a predicted model, not a curated record
CAGCGUUGUUCUGGAUUCCCGCUGUAACUUAAAGGGAAACUUUCACAAUGUCCGGAGCGGUUGAUGUCCUGCAAGUGGAGGAGGAAGAUGUCCUUAAGUUCCUUGCAGCAAGAACCCACUUUGUUGGCACCAAUCUUUACUUCCAAAUGGAACAGUACAUCUGUAAAAGGAAAAGUGAUGGCAUUGCUCUUGCCAUUGCUGCCAUUGAAAACCGUGCUGAUGUCAGUGUUAUAUCCUCCAGGAAUACUGGCCAGAGGGCCGUGCUGAAGUUUGCUGCUGCCACUGGAGCCACUCCAGUUGCUGGCUGCUUCACUCCUGGAACCUUCACUAACCGGAUCCAGGCAACCUUCCGGGAGCCACGGCUUCCUGCGGUUACUGACCCCAGGGUUGAGUACCAGUCUUUCACGGAGGCGUCUUUUGUUAACCUACCUAUGACUGCUCUGUGUAACACAGAUUCUCCUCUGUGCUAUGUGUACAUUGCCAUUCCACGCAACAACAAAGGAGUUUACUCAGUUGGUUCGAUGUGGUGGAUGCUGGUCCCGAAAGUUCAGCGCCUAAGUGGCAGCAUUUCCCGUGAACACCCGUGGCAGGUUAUGCCUGAUCCCUGCUUCUACAGAGAUUUUGAAGAGCUUGAAAAAGAAGAGCAGGCUGCUGCUGAAAAGGCUGUGACCAAGGAGGAAUUUCAGGGUGAAUGGGUAGAAGCAACCACUGAAUGGUCUUAA